Molecule: ribosomal RNA, 426 nt
Filed under: Triticum aestivum (bread wheat)
Lineage: Eukaryota; Viridiplantae; Streptophyta; Magnoliopsida; Poales; Poaceae
Description: partial small subunit ribosomal RNA
Source: RNAcentral
AUGAUUUCACCGCCCCCGGUGAUGCAAUCCUCCGCGGCGAGGCCCGCCUUGGCCGGGUUCCGCCAUGCCGCCGCCUGCUCCAGCUCCCGCCGGACGGUCCGGUGCGCGGUGGCCGUCGCGUCGGCGGCGCCGGCCGGGAGGUGCACGCUGUACGAGGUGCUCGGGCUGCGGGCCGGCGCCACGCGCGGCGAGAUCAAGGCCGCCUACCGGCGACUGGCUCGGGAGCGGCACCCGGACGUGGCCGGCGCGGCCGGCGACGACUUCAUCCGCCUGCACGACGCCUACGCCACGCUCUCCGACCCGGACGCCCGCGCGCGCUACGACCGCGACGUCGUCGUGCAGGCCUACGCGCAGCCGCCCGCUGCCAGGCCGGACGGCGUCUGGGGCCGGCCUCGCCGCACGUGGGAGACAGACCAGUGCUGGUAG